This 441-nucleotide ribosomal RNA is filed under the name uncultured Thermovirga sp. RNAcentral's name for it is "bacterial SSU rRNA". It matches the Rfam family "Bacterial small subunit ribosomal RNA", at positions 955 to 1382 of the family's 1533-position model. Lineage: Bacteria; Thermotogati; Synergistota; Synergistia; Synergistales; Thermovirgaceae. The record is from RNAcentral.
CCAAACGAACGUAACCUUACCUGGGUUUUGACAUUGUGCGUUGUUACUGAGGUGAAAGCCGAGGGACCAUAUCUUCGGAUGUGGAGCGUACACAGGUGCUGCAUGGCUGUCGUCAGCUCGUGUCGUGAGAUUGUUGGGUUAAGUCCCGCAACGAGCGCCAACCCCUGCAUUCAGUUGCCAACGGUAAGGCCGGGCACUCUGGAUGGACUGCCGGCGACAAGCCGGAGGAAGGUGGGAUGACGUCAAGUCAUCAUGGCCCUUAUGUCCAGGGCGACACACGUGCUACAAUGGCCGGCACAGCGGGAAGCGAGGGGGCGACCUUGAGCGGAUCCCUCAAAGCCGGUCUCAGUUCGGAUUGCAGUCUGCAACUCGACUGCAUGAAGUUGGAAUCGCUAGUAAUCGUGGAUCAGCCAAGCCGCGGUGAAUACGUUCCCGGGCCUU